UCGCGGCUUAUCACCGGCAGUCCCCUUAGAGUGCCCAACUGAAUGAUGGCAACUAAGGGCGAGGGUUGCGCUCGUUGCGGGACUUAACCCAACAUCUCACGACACGAGCUGACGACAGCCAUGCAGCACCUGUGCUCCUCCCACCCGAGGUGAAAGAAUCCAUUUCUGGAAACUAUAGAGGGCAUGUCAAGACCUGGUAAGGUUCUUCGCGUUGCCUCGAAUUAAACCACAUGUUCCACCGCUUGUGCGGGUCCCCGUCAAUUUCUUUGAGUUUUAAUCUUGCGACCGUACUCCCCAGGCGGGGUGCUUAAUGCGUUAGCUGCGCCACUGACCGGUAAACCGGCCAACGGCUAGCAUCCAUCGUUUACGGCGUGGACUAC
Molecule: unclassified non-coding RNA, 380 nt
Filed under: uncultured Alphaproteobacteria bacterium
Lineage: Bacteria; Pseudomonadati; Pseudomonadota; Alphaproteobacteria
Description: contains 16S-23S intergenic spacer region
Source: RNAcentral